This is a long non-coding RNA of Arachis stenosperma, 2080 nucleotides long. RefSeq lists it as uncharacterized. The record is from RefSeq and is a predicted model, not a curated record. Lineage: Eukaryota; Viridiplantae; Streptophyta; Magnoliopsida; Fabales; Fabaceae. The transcript has 3 exons.
UCCUUUCUCCAAUGAUCCACAUAUUCCUUUAUUAUGAGCCAUUCAUCCAUAGCUAAUGUAAACCACAUAUUUCCAAAUGAAAAUCAGAAUUGGAUUCAGAAAAUCAGAGAAAGAAAGAUCGAGAGAGAGCAAGACACAGAGGGAGAAAGGGGAAAAACGGAAACAGAAAGGGAGGAAUGAAGAUCAGAACUCACGGAAGGAAGAAGGCUUCGAUCUCACCAUCUUCGUACACCCAUGGCUGCUACUAUUAUCAAUCGAAACUACUGCGCACAGAGAGAAGAAAAGAGCGACGAACUGGGAGACGCGUUGCUUCUGUUGACAUUUAUUGGAGUUGUCGCGCGUAGAAGAGAGGUUACCGCCGAUUCCGCCCAGGAUCAUCGUCGCCGCCGCUACCAUUGAUGAAAGUCGGCGCCAUCGAAGGGGCCACUGGUGAGAGGAACCCUAACUGUCAUCGAUACCAUCGAACAGGGCAGGAAGGGGAGGAGUGACGUGAUGAAAGAAGAGAGUCGUUCUGCCACUGAUGCACUUGCUAGUGCUAUUGAGGAAGUCCGCCAUCCGAGAAGCAUCAUCCGCGUUGUUGCUGUGAACUAUUUCAGCCCUGCCCUGGAAAAAUGCCCAAAAAUGUUUUUGUUUUCGUCUAGCCAUCAUUAUCGCGAUUAUUGAUGACAUUGCUGCUACAGAGAGUCAUUGGCAUCACUGUUGCGGUUGCUGCCACGAAUUAGGAAUAAAGGGAAUUGCUGUGUUAGAUUCAUUACGACAUCGAGUGACAUAGGUUUGAAGACGCAAUUUGAAGUUGCGAGCGAUUAGUAGGCUUCCUUUAUGGUUUUAAUUGCUUUCAUAGAGUUCCCUCGCUGUUGUCCCUUGAGAUUUUAUUUUGUAUAGAGGGGUAGGUUUGAUAUAUUAUAUUUAAGUUUCAUAUGGUUUCUUUUGUAUAAGAAUUAUUAUCAAUAGUAAUUAUGCGAUUAUUAUUACUUGGAAAUGUUUGAAUUAUGACUUUAAUGAAUAAAAACAAAAUUUUCUGGAAUUUUCUUAAAACUAAAACGCGAACUCGAUACAAAGGCUCGAUAAUUAAGUAGUUAAUACUAAAGAAGGUUACGUAAUGUUCUUUCUAAUAGAAAUAUCCUGACUUAAGCAAGGUAUUUUGCUGGACGGGACGUUACAGUUGUCUUAUUAAGAAGACAACUCGGUUUGACAUUAUCUUGUUGUGAUGCAUAUUGAAGAAAACGUAUUUGAUAUCAUCAUGCACAUAAUAAUGGUCAAUGUUUAAACAAAGAAUAACGAUAAGGCGGCCAGAUCUAAACUUAAAGAUACUUGAAAACGGGUGGUGGACUAAACCGAAGACGGUGUUCGCUCUAACGAAGGAACAGAGACAAAAUGUUUGUAGGUGGGUUAGAGGAUUGAGGUUUCCUAAUGGUUAUACUUCUAACUUGAGCAGGUGUGCAAACAUAUCACAUGGUAGACUUGCUGGGUUGAAGAGUGAUGAUUGUCACGUCUUCAUGGAGUCUUUGCUUCCUGUCGCAUUCAGAGAACUUUCAACCAACAUCUGAAAAUCCCUCAUACAAAUAAGUGAGUUCUUUAGGGAGUUAUGUGCUAUGAAACGUAGCUUUAAUGAUCUUCCAGUCAUGGAAAAAAACAUUCUCAUCAUACUUUGUAAGCUAUAGAGGAUAUUCUCUCCAUCAUUUUUUGACAUUAUGGAACACUUAGCAGUUCACCUACUAUACGAAGUCAUACUAUGUGUGCCGGUCUAAUUUAGGUGGAUGUACCCAUUUGAGAGGAUGAUUGGGUCAUUCAAGUGUACGGUAAAGAACAAAGCUCGGAUUGAGGGCAGUAUUUGUAAAGCAUUCCUAGCUAAGGAACGUCCGCAUUUUGCUCAUUCUAUUUUCAACUUCAUGUUGAGUCACGUAGAACAAGGUUAGAAAGAAUGAAGAGAGGGGAUAAUCCUUGUCAAGUGGAACAACAAAUCCAAUCUUUGCUUCGGAAUGAGCUACAAUGGGUGCGGGCUGUAAUUAUUGGUUAGAGUAGAAGGAAAUUGAUGCUGCACAGAUGCAUGUGUUGCUUAACCGUGACCGGAUUUCAUGUA